Molecule: small RNA, 152 nt
Filed under: Limnoraphis robusta
Lineage: Bacteria; Bacillati; Cyanobacteriota; Cyanophyceae; Oscillatoriales; Sirenicapillariaceae
Description: c-di-AMP sequence
Rfam family: c-di-AMP riboswitch aptamer (ydaO/yuaA leader) (bases 17-152)
About the family: This family represents a conserved RNA structure found upstream of the ydaO and yuaA genes in Bacillus subtilis and related genes in other bacteria. The ydaO/yuaA element is thought to act as a genetic "off" switch for the ydaO and yuaA genes in its native state. It is believed that the element may be triggered during osmotic shock leading to activation of ydaO, a predicted amino acid transporter gene, and members of the yuaA-yubG operon which code for KtrA and KtrB K+ transporters.
Source: RNAcentral
GAGCAGAAUUUCUCAACUUCUACAAGAGCAGAGAAACUUUGUGAGAAACGGAGGAACCAAAAAUCGGGGCGAAUCUCGCGCAAUGUAACCGAGAGAGGCACCUUCCAGCCUUAGCCCGUCAGCUAACUUCGUAGGCAUUGGAAGGAGAACCC